RNAcentral lists this unclassified non-coding RNA (631 nucleotides) under Trichoderma citrinoviride. RNAcentral describes it as "sequence contains 18S rRNA gene, ITS1, 5.8S rRNA gene, ITS2, 28S rRNA gene". The stretch from base 262 to 415 matches the Rfam family "5.8S ribosomal RNA". Lineage: Eukaryota; Fungi; Ascomycota; Sordariomycetes; Hypocreales; Hypocreaceae. The record is from RNAcentral.
GUAACAAGGUCUCCGUUGGUGAACCAGCGGAGGGAUCAUUACCGAGUUUACAACUCCCAAACCCAAUGUGAACGUUACCAAUCUGUUGCCUCGGCGGGAUUCUCUGCCCCGGGCGCGUCGCAGCCCCGGAUCCCAUGGCGCCCGCCGGAGGACCAACUCAAACUCUUUUUUCUCUCCGUCGCGGCCUACGUCGCGGCUCUGUUUUAUUUUUGCUCUGAGCCUUUCUCGGCGACCCUAGCGGGCGUCUCGAAAAUGAAUCAAAACUUUCAACAACGGAUCUCUUGGUUCUGGCAUCGAUGAAGAACGCAGCGAAAUGCGAUAAGUAAUGUGAAUUGCAGAAUUCAGUGAAUCAUCGAAUCUUUGAACGCACAUUGCGCCCGCCAGUAUUCUGGCGGGCAUGCCUGUCCGAGCGUCAUUUCAACCCUCGAACCCCUCCGGGGGGUCGGCGUUGGGGAUCGGCCCCUCACCGGGCCGCCCCCGAAAUACAGUGGCGGUCUCGCCGCAGCCUCUCCUGCGCAGUAGUUUGCACACUCGCACCGGGAGCGCGGCGCGGCCACAGCCGUAAAACACCCCAAACUCUGAAAUGUUGACCUCGGAUCAGGUAGGAAUACCCGCUGAACUUAAGCAUAUC